AAGUUGAGCUUAGUCCAUUGGGACUGAUGCUAAUACCGGAUGUGCCGAGAGGUGAAAGGCUUGCUGCCUGUAAAUGAACUCCCGUCAAAUUAGCUAGUUGGUGGUGUAAUGGACUACCAAGGCGACGAUCUGUAGCUGGUCUAAGAGGAUGAUCAGCCACACUGGGACUGAAACACGGCCCAAACUCCUACGGGAGGCAGCAGUGGGGAAUUUUCCGCAAUGGGCGAAAGCCUGACGGAGCAACGCCGCGUGAGGGAGGAAGGCUUUCGGGUUGUAAACCUCUUUUCUCUGGGAAAAAGUUCUGACGGUACCAGAGGAAUAAGCCUCGGCUAACUCCGUGCCAGCAGCCGCGGUAAGACGGAGGAGGCGAGCGUUAUCCGGAAUUAUUGGGC
Molecule: ribosomal RNA, 392 nt
Filed under: Phormidium sp. NTRI60
Lineage: Bacteria; Bacillati; Cyanobacteriota; Cyanophyceae; Oscillatoriales; Oscillatoriaceae
Description: bacterial SSU rRNA
Rfam family: Bacterial small subunit ribosomal RNA
Source: RNAcentral